GUCUAAAAUUGAUACAUCUUUUUGUGGUUUAGGGAUUAGGGUAAUUAGACCUUGACGUAGUGUGGAAGGUAAUUUAUCUUUCUGUAUAAUUUCGGUAAAAACAUCCAAUAGAAAGGGAGCAAGUUGGGCUGAGAAUAAUUUAUAAAAUUCAGAGGUUAGUGCAUCAGUGCCUGGACAUUUGUUUAAGUUAUUAAUAGCAUCAGAAAUUUCGGUAAGAGUUAUAUGUAAAUAACAAAUUGACCUUUUGACAUCUCCAAUUGUUUUAAUAUCACCAAGAUUCUUUAAAAAAUCAUCCAUUUGAAUAACUGAAAUAUUUUAGGGUUAUAGCAUUUUAUAAUAAUUUUUACAAAUCUUGGAUAAAUCACUAGUAUUAUCUACAAUAGUACCAUUUGAAGUGUCUAUUUACACUAUUUUUAUUUUGUCUUUGUUUUUCUAGGUUUAAAAAGUAAUCAUAAUUCUGCUCCUCCUCUAACCAUUUUUCUCUUAAUUGUGCAAAUGCACCUUUAGUUUUUUUUUAUGUAUAAUUGAUCUAGUUUAAGCUGUAGUUCAAAUAGGUUUUCUGGCUAAAUGGAUGAUAGUGAAGUAAGGUUGGUUAUUAAAGUAUUUUCCUCCGUUAUUCUUUCCUUUAUUUUCUAAAAAACAAAACAUUUUAGCUCAAAUUUUAAAAGUUCCCAUUGUUUUUGAUAAUCCCCUUCCUCUUCAGGAAGCUUAAGAUAUUCUGAAAUUGUAUUUCUUACUAUUUCACAAUGAAAGAGAAAUUAAGUUUCCACUAGGCUGGAUAUCUCUGAGUUGGCUUGUUUGGUGAUAAAUGUAGAGUUCGUACAGUUGCUCUGUUUUCUGUUAAGGGUGUCGGCAUAAUUUCCCUUUUACAGUGCAGUUGAGUAAGGGAUUCUGAGAUCAACCAAAAAUCUAUUCUAGAUCGUAGAGAGCCGGCCCUGUUUGUCCAUGUAAACUCUCUACUACCUGGAUUAAUAACUCUCCACAUAUCAGCAAGGCUUCUUUCAUUUAUAAAAUUAGUCAAAAACGAGUUAGCUGUAAUCCUUUGCAGCCAUCUAUCAAUUUUGUUAUUAAUUAUACAAUUAAAAUGUCCUCCCAGUAUUAUUUUGACAUCAGAGAACCUUUCUACAAUACUUUCAAUCAAAUUAUUCAAUGUCUGAAAUAACUCUUGUAUUGUCUUGUAUUUGUGUAACCAUAAAUGUUUCCUAAAAGAACAAACUGGUUACAGUAACAGAAAACGUUCAAUAUAUAAUGUCCAUUUGAGUCCGAUUGAAUAAGAAUAACCUUCCCAUUAAAUUUGUGCUUAACUUUUAGAGUUCCAGCUGAAUGGCCAUUUCCCUGGGACAUCCAUAAGUCCUGUAAAUGUGUAAAUACUGACUUCAGCAAAUGUCGUCUUCCUUUUAUUUUCUCUUUUUUUUCAGUUAAGCUAUAAAUAUUGAUGCAAAAUAAUCAUUCCAACUACUUAGAACUACAAUGAACCCUCGUUUUUUGAGGGGGUUACUUUCCAAAAAGUACCCGUGGCGAAAUCUGUGAAGUAGUAACCUUUAUUUUUUUUUACAAUUAUUAUACAAUGAAAUACUCCAUAAUACAUUGAAACCAAAGAACAAAAACUUUUACAGGCCCAAGCAUUUGUUUAACAAAUAUAAAUACUGUAUUAACGUUUUUGUGUUUUUUUUUUUUACAAAUAACUACUGUACUGUAAAAUAAUAAUUUGAAUCAUUAAUACGAACUGAAGGCUUCAAAUUGCGGAGACCAGUACCGCCCCACCACGACCCGAGUCAUUGGAUUAGAACGGGAGAAAAUGAUAAAUGAUUAUGAAAAGAAAUACAAGAUACAAUCGGACAAAUAGUGACUUACGUGUAUUUCACUGAUCUUCUGACCGAGCUGCUGCAUCCUGACUCCACUCUGUAGCGUUUUUUUUUUUUUUCUUCUAAAGCCAGGUGUGUUUUUUCGAGAGAAGAACGUAGUUAUCGGUAGUUGUUUUACGUACUUGUACAUAUUAAACCGCAACGUUAUUGACACACAGGUAGAGAAGAAGCGGAGAGACUGUUUAGCCAAUCAGAAUGCAGAACACGAUGCAAAUCCGUGAAGCAGCGAGACCGUGGAAGAUGAACCGUGAUAUAGUGAGGGUUCACUGUAUACUGCAUUUAUAAUACCUGCUGUAGAAAUUUUACUUUAUAUUUUUAAGCAGAUCAUUCAGUCCCAAAGACGGCGUUGGAGGUCAGGGUCUUCCACUCUUGAACGCAGUGACACCCCAAGAAUGACCAUCAACCAAAGCCUCAGGCAACCUCCGCAGAAGUCUGUCAGAGCUGACAGGGAUCCCAUAAAUGCAGCCAAGGCUUUGUCGACGUAUACACAGAAAUUGAGGAAGGAUGCCUUUCCAAUGUCUGAAAAAAAAGAGAGUUCUUCAGCUCCUACUUGAAAUCAAGGAUACAAUUCAUGUUGCCAGUUCAUCUGCUGGAACAAGUUAUGAAGUGAAGCCAGCAAACACAGAACAAGAGUUUGAAGCUCUAGAGAAACGCCUGGAGGACAUGAAUGAGGGAGCAGAACUGAGUAAGUGGAAACUUCCAUCUGUUUUUGAGCACCCUUGGACAACACUGCUCCCCUUUUUAGUAGCCAUCCUCAGGGUAGUCAGACCUGCUAGCGUGACAUGCUACUCCAACUCAGCCGGUGUGUCAGCUGAGGGGAGGGGGAGGCUGUUUGCUUGAAGAUUAAACAUCUAAAGAGGUUGGGGGGCGUUGAUGCUGCAGAUCUUGUCAAGAAAUCAAUGGCUGCACACUUUCUUCAACUCAUUUGACACAACAACAACCAAACUGGAUGAAUACAUUUCUAAAUAUUUGAAGUAUGCACCAGAGAGGAUGGGAGGUGGAGGUCGAAAGAAAUAGGGAAGAUUCCCUGCUCAGUGUUGCCCAUUUUGGCGUUUCCAACAUAAAACUGUUUGAAUGUUGCAGCUCAUAAUAAAUUUUGGUUUUGCACUACAUACCAUCCUUUAUUAACUGCUUAAAUCAGAUUUGUUGAACCAAAUUAUACAUUUAUCGUUUUGAUUUUCCAGCUCUGUAUAUAAAUAAUUUUGGUACUUCAGUUUUAAAUACUUCAAAAAGAUUUUUUUUUUAUUAAGUGCUUUAAAAGAUAAGGGCUUCAAAGCCUAGAUUUCUUCAACUGCUAAAAGCAGAGGCAGAAAUGGUUAAAAUUUCCCUUCGAGGUUCAAUGUUGCCAAAUGUUUGGGCCAUUUUUUAUUAUUAUCAUCUAAGAUAAUAAAUCAGUUUAUAACAUCA
Long non-coding RNA from Girardinichthys multiradiatus, 3272 nucleotides. RefSeq lists it as uncharacterized. NCBI's taxonomy places the organism in Eukaryota, Metazoa, Chordata, Actinopteri, Cyprinodontiformes, Goodeidae. The transcript has 6 exons. The record is from RefSeq and is a predicted model, not a curated record.